RNAcentral lists this ribosomal RNA (254 nucleotides) under uncultured bacterium. RNAcentral's name for it is "partial 16S ribosomal RNA". It matches the Rfam family "Bacterial small subunit ribosomal RNA", at positions 526 to 779 of the family's 1533-position model. The record is from RNAcentral.
CGUAGGUGACAAGCGUUGUCCGGAAUUAUUGGGCGUAAAGGGAGCGCAGGCGGUUGGAAUAGUCUGAUGUGAAAGCCCACGGCUUAACCGUGGAAGGUCAUUGGAAACUGUCCAACUUGAAUGCAGAAGAGGUAAGUGGAAUUCCAAGUGUAGCGGUGAAAUGCGUAGAUAUUUGGAGGAACACCAGUGGCGAAGGCGACUUACUGGUCUGUGAUUGACGCUGAGGCUCGAAAGCGUGGGUAGCAAACAGGAUU